GUUGGUGUGGCAGAGCCCGGCAAUUGCUAAAGACCUAAGCUCUUUCUACAGAGGUUCAAGUCCUCUCUCUAACU
This 74-nucleotide transfer RNA is filed under the name Chlorophthalmus nigromarginatus. RNAcentral describes it as "tRNA-Leu". It matches the Rfam family "tRNA". Rfam says of the family: Transfer RNA (tRNA) molecules are approximately 80 nucleotides in length. Their secondary structure includes four short double-helical elements and three loops (D, anti-codon, and T loops). Lineage: Eukaryota; Metazoa; Chordata; Actinopteri; Aulopiformes; Chlorophthalmidae. The record is from RNAcentral.